RNAcentral lists this ribosomal RNA (497 nucleotides) under uncultured bacterium. RNAcentral describes it as "partial 16S ribosomal RNA". It matches the Rfam family "Bacterial small subunit ribosomal RNA", at positions 28 to 507 of the family's 1533-position model. The record is from RNAcentral.
GAUGAACGCUGGCGGCGUGCCUAAUACAUGCAAGUCGAGCGAACAGACGAGGAGCUUGCUCCUCUGACGUUAGCGGCGGACGGGUGAGUAACACGUGGAUAACCUACCUAUAAGACUGGGAUAACUUCGGGAAACCGCAGCUAAUACCGGAUAAUAUAUUGAACCGCAUGGUUCAAUAGUGAAAGACGGUUUUGCUGUCACUUAUAGAUGGAUCCGCGCCGCAUUAGCUAGUUGGUAAGGUAACGGCUUACCAAGGCAACGAUGCGUAGCCGACCUGGGAGGGUGAUCGGCCACACUGGAACUGAGACACGGUCCAGACUCCUACGGGAGGCAGCAGUAGGGAAUCUUCCGCAAUGGGCGAAAGCCUGACGGAGCAACGCCGCGUGAGUGAUGAAGGUCUUCGGAUCGUAAAACUCUGUUAUUAGGGAAGAACAAAUGUGUAAGUAACUAUGCACGUCUUGACGGUACCUAAUCAGAAAGCCACGGCUAACUACGUG